GUUUGUUGUUAGUAAAUUAAAACAUGAAAUAUGAAUUGCUAUAUAGCUAUGAAAAUCCUACAUCCUGUCGAUAGAUAUAGGAAGAUGCGGUGUGAGUGCCAAUGAGACAACUCUCAAAUCCUGUCGAUGUCUAUCUUUUGGCAUCCUUUUUUCUCAGACUUUAAUGACCUCUUUACAAUAAAUUAAUAAGAUGUGAAAUGAUUG
RNAcentral lists this long non-coding RNA (204 nucleotides) under Mytilus galloprovincialis (Mediterranean mussel). Lineage: Eukaryota; Metazoa; Mollusca; Bivalvia; Mytilida; Mytilidae. The record is from RNAcentral.